Molecule: ribosomal RNA, 418 nt
Filed under: uncultured bacterium
Lineage: Bacteria
Description: bacterial SSU rRNA
Rfam family: Bacterial small subunit ribosomal RNA
Source: RNAcentral
UGGGGAAUCUUGCGCAAUGGGGGGAACCCUGACGCAGCGACGCCGCGUGCGGGAUGGAGGCCUUCGGGUCGUAAACCGCUUUCAGCAGGGAUGAGACAAGACGGUACCUGCAGAAGAAGCCCCGGCUAACUACGUGCCAGCAGCCGCGGUAAUACGUAGGGGGCGAGCGUUAUCCGGAUUCAUUGGGCGUAAAGAGCGCGUAGGCGGCCGGGAGGGCCGGGGGUCAAAAUGCGGGGGCUCAACCCCCGCCCGCCCCCGGAACCCGCCAGGCCCGGCUGCCGGCGAGGGGAGGGUGGAACACCCGGUGUAGCGGUGGAAUGCGCAGAUAUCGGGUGGAACACCGGUGGCGAAGGCGGCUCUCUGGGCCGAGACCGACGCUGAGGCGCGAAAGCUGGGGGAGCAAACAGGAUUAGAUACC